This 459-nucleotide ribosomal RNA is filed under the name uncultured bacterium. RNAcentral's name for it is "partial 16S ribosomal RNA". It matches the Rfam family "Bacterial small subunit ribosomal RNA", at positions 338 to 795 of the family's 1533-position model. The record is from RNAcentral.
CCUACGGUGGGCAGCAGUGAGGAAUAUUGGUCAAUGGGAGAGAUCCUGAACCAGCCAAGCCGCGUGAGGGAAGACGGCCCUAUGGGUUGUCAACCUCUUUUGUCGGAGAACCAAACCCGGGACGUGUCCCGUCCUGCGUGUAUCCGAAGAAAAAGCAUCGGCUAACUCCGUGCCAGCAGCCGCGGUAAUACGGAGGAUGCGAGCGUUAUCCGGAUUUAUUGGGGUUAAAGGGUGCGUCGGCGGUCCGUUCAGUCCGCGGUAAAAUUGCGGGGCUAAACCCCGUCGAGCCGUUGAAACUGGCAGACUUGAGUUGGCGAGAAGUACGCGGAAUGCGCGGUGUAGCGGUGAAAUGCAUAGAUAUCGCGCAGAACUCCGAGUGCGAAGGCAGCGUACCGGCGCCAGACUGACGCUGAGGCACGAAAGCGUGGGGAUCGAACAGGAUUAGAUACCCGUGUAGUC